Molecule: long non-coding RNA, 1495 nt
Filed under: Chloebia gouldiae (Gouldian finch)
Lineage: Eukaryota; Metazoa; Chordata; Aves; Passeriformes; Passeridae
Description: Erythrura gouldiae (Gouldian finch) lncRNA (ENSEGOG00005005432.1)
Source: RNAcentral
GGGUACAGAGAGAUGCUGACAGCUCUUGGCUGGUGCAGAAGUGGGAGGGAGCAGAAAGCUGUGUCAAAAGUAGACUGUGGAAGGAUCUGGGCUACAGCUCAGUUUUGUUAAAGCUUUGGAAAUAGGGAGUAUUUUCUGCAUUUAUCUAACUAUGAAAGAAAAAUAGUGUAAAUGAGCAAGUGGAUGGCUAUGGCCAGGUAGAGUCCUCUCCAUGAGGGUGUGGGAGCACGGCAGCAGGCAGAGCCCAGCCCGGACAGCAAGGGUGUGGGCAGGGGCUGUACCCCAGCUUUUGCCGGGUGCUGGUGAAGUGGUGCUGGUCUGGCGGGCGCGCUGUGGAGCCAAACACAGCCUGCCAGAGAGAGCAUCUGUUGGGUGCUUGGAGGAGAGCAGAAAAAAGGAUCUGAACACAUCACAGACCCGAAGUCCCCAGACAAGUGUUCCAGACCAGGGAUCCAUCCAGUUACCACAGGUAGAUGAACUGCUGCUGAACCACCAGCCUGAGAGCCUGGAGGAUGCAGAAAGUGGAGCCAGAGUAGAGGAAAAGAUUGUUUACCUCUGAUAACUUGUUUUCUAUUCUCAGUAGCACUUUGGAAAGAUAACUGUGUUUGUUUUUCUAAGUUUCUGUAGUUCUCUGUAUGACCAUCUGGCUGUAAGGAUAGUAUUUAAUAGCAAAUGCAAAUUUUUCCCUGUGAUAAAUCUAGCAAGUAAGUUAUUUUGAAGCCUUUGUUGUAUAAUCUUUAAUUUAUGACAUGAUUUCAAGUGCUUUGCAAGAAUCAGUGAGUAGCAGAUGAGACAUAACCUUCUGAAAUUGUAAAGGUGCCACUAAGGACUGUGAAAGCUAGUCUUGAUUUUCGUGAGUCCUCUUCUUACAAGGAUGAGCUAAGACAUUUGCUACUUGAGAUUUCAGAGUGUGUAUCACUAACAGUUGUGAUAUAACAUGAAAAGACAGCAAUGUAACAAUGCUGGCUUGAGUCUUUGUUGAAAUGUGCUUAGUUGAAAUGUGAAAUAUACCCUUAGGUCUUGGGUCAUUUUCCUUAUCUUCUAGCUCAGGAACUGCUCAGAAGGGGAUUUUUUUAUGGUCUGAGCAUAAUUGCAUAAUUGUAAGUGUUUUUUCAUGUCCCAAAGCUUAUUAUCAUUUUGAUACUACUGCCAAUUUCUGUGCAGAGAUGCACUAAAUCAGUUAUUGUAUUAUGACUGUUUCUCAUUUCAGUAAGUGUCCUUACACAUUAAAAUUUACCAGAUGAAACCAUCUCACUGGUCAAAAGAAAAAAAAGGGGAUAAAUAAUAGGCUUCGGGUAAUUGAACUCUUCUGAACCUCCACUGCUUUCCUGUGCAGAUAUCAGAUAGCUUUCUGCUUUCAGAUUCAUGGGAUUCUCUGUCUUGGGCAGUAAGAAACCCUUUUUGUGCCUUUUUAUGCCUUUUUGUCUUUCUGAAAAAUUUCUACGCGUCUGUCAAACUAAAUAAAUGUUCUGUGCAUUUCUAGAAAACUGUAAAU